This 886-nucleotide ribosomal RNA is filed under the name Stemphylium vesicarium. RNAcentral describes it as "eukaryotic LSU rRNA". It matches the Rfam family "Eukaryotic large subunit ribosomal RNA", at positions 32 to 936 of the family's 3401-position model. The record is from RNAcentral. Lineage: Eukaryota; Fungi; Ascomycota; Dothideomycetes; Pleosporales; Pleosporaceae.
AACUAAGCAUAUCAAUAAGCGGAGGAAAAGAAACCAACAGGGAUUGCCCUAGUAACGGCGAGUGAAGCGGCAACAGCUCAAAUUUGAAAUCUGGCUCUUUUAGGGUCCGAGUUGUAAUUUGCAGAGGGCGCUUUGGCUUUGGCAGCGGUCCAAGUUCCUUGGAACAGGACGUCACAGAGGGUGAGAAUCCCGUACGUGGUCGCUAGCUAUCGCCGUGUAAAGCCCCUUCGACGAGUCGAGUUGUUUGGGAAUGCAGCUCUAAAUGGGAGGUAAAUUUCUUCUAAAGCUAAAUAUUGGCCAGAGACCGAUAGCGCACAAGUAGAGUGAUCGAAAGAUGAAAAGCACUUUGGAAAGAGAGUCAAACAGCACGUGAAAUUGUUGAAAGGGAAGCGCUUGCAGCCAGACUUGCUUGCAGUUGCUCAUCCGGGCUUUUGCCCGGUGCACUCUUCUGUAGGCAGGCCAGCAUCAGUUUGGGCGGUGGGAUAAAGGUCUCUGUCACGUACCUCUCUUCGGGGAGGCCUUAUAGGGGAGACGACAUACCACCAGCCUAGACUGAGGUCCGCGCAUCUGCUAGGAUGCUGGCGUAAUGGCUGUAAGCGGCCCGUCUUGAAACACGGACCAAGGAGUCUAACAUCUAUGCGAGUGUUUGGGUGUCAAGCCCGAGCGCGUAAUGAAAGUGAACGGAGGUGGGAACCCGCAAGGGUGCACCAUCGACCGAUCCUGAAGUUUUCGGAAGGAUUUGAGUAAGAGCAUGGCUGUUGGGACCCGAAAGAUGGUGAACUAUGCUUGAAUAGGGUGAAGCCAGAGGAAACUCUGGUGGAGGCUCGCAGCGGUUCUGACGUGCAAAUCGAUCGUCAAAUUUGGGCAUAGGGGCGAAAGACUAAUC